AUACUUACCUGGCAGGGGCAAUUUCAUGAUCAUGAAGAUGGUCUCCCCAGGGCAAGGCUUAUCCAUUGCACUCCCGAUGGGCUGACCCCUGCAAUUUCUCCAAAUGUGGGAAACUCUACUGCAUGAUUUAUGAUAGAGUUGUGCUACAGUUCCCUAUUA
Non-coding RNA from Sarcophilus harrisii (Tasmanian devil), 159 nucleotides. NCBI's taxonomy places the organism in Eukaryota, Metazoa, Chordata, Mammalia, Dasyuromorphia, Dasyuridae. The record is from Rfam.